AUGCUCGUAUGGAUGCAGUAUGAGUGGGAACGUGCAUGUGACAGCACCAGAAAUUACAGCCAAGUAAAUGUUAAAAGACUGGGACUUGUACCGAACACUCAGCAUGCUGCUCCUGGGGCUCAUCAACAAGGAGAAUGUGCCCUUCAAACCAACAAGGAAAAAUGGAGGAAACACAGAAAGUUGGCAAUGACCUACACAGCUAUUGGAGUCAGAAACAGCACCAACUGCCAAAACAGCUGCAGUGACGUGUGCGGAAGGACAUCACAGCUGAAGAGCAACUUGGGAACAACAAAUUUCCAUUGCCUUCAGAUUUCCCCAGACUGCUGUUAUGUUGGCUUUGUUACACUCUCAUUCAGAACUGUGGGAUUCACACUGAAUUAUUUAAUGCUAACACUUCUCAAGGCCCCUAAACGUAUUCAAAGAGGGUGCAGAGCAUCCUGUCUGAAUGGCGAUUGCUAUUUCCACUGAAUGCAAUCUAACUAGAAAACAUUAUAAAUAUAUAUAUAUAUGUGUGUAUAACUGGAACUGGAAGCUUACUUUAGGAGAUAAAAUCACAGAGAAUCACAGAACUGGGAGGGGUUGGAAAGGACUUCUGUAGGUCCCCCAAUCCAACCCCUUGAUAAAACAUGUUCCCUACAGCAAGUUGCAAAGGAACGCAUUCAGAUGGAUCUUGAAUACCUCCAGAGAAGGAGAUAGCCACCUUUCUGGGCAUUCUGUUCCAGUGCUCUGUUACUCUGACAGGGAAGUUCUUCCUCAUGUUAGUAUGGAACUUUCUGUGUUCCAGUCUGUGCCUGAUGCCCUUUGCCCUGUUGUUGGGCACCACUGAGAAGAACCUGGCUCUAUCCUCUUAGCUCCCACCCUUUAGGUAUUUAGAAGCAUUGGUAAGAUCUCCUGCAUAGUCUUCUCCAGUCUGAACAGCCCCAGGUCUCUCAGCUGGUCCUUGCUCAGGAGAUGCUCCAGAGAGCAUUCAAGUCUUGCUGAAUGGUGGCACAGCCAUAUAGUGUGUCAGUCACCUGGCUUUGUAUCAUCAUCAAACUUGCUGCAGGUGGACUCUAUCCCUUCAUCCAGAUUGUUGAUGAGGAUGUUCAAGAAGAUCAGAUCAAGCACUGACCCCUGGAGAACACUACUAGUUACAGGCCUCCAACCAGGCUCUGUGCCACUGAUCACAACUCUCUUUGAGCUCUCCAGUUCUCAAUCCACACUUCCAAAUCCACUUACCUAUGAGGCUGUUACGGAAGGUGAUGUCCAAAGCCUUGCUGAAGUCAAGGUAUGUAACACCCACAGAUCUCCCUGCAUUUACCCAGCUGAUCAUGUCAUCUUAGAAGACUACCAGGUUGAUCAAGCACAAUUUUCCCUUGGUGAACUCACACUGACUACUGCUGGUAAACUUCUUCCCUUCCAGUUGCCUGGAGAUGGCAUCCAGACCAAGCUGUUCCACCACCUUUCCAGGGAGAGGUGAGACUGACUGCCCUGCAGUUUACCGGAUCCUCCUCCUUGCCCUUUCUGAAGACCGGGGUGAAUCAGUUGUCCUUCAGACUUCAGGCACCACUUUUAUUCUGCAUGCCCUUAACAUAGAUGAUAGCAAUUUGGUAAUCACUUUCACCAGCUCCCUCACCACGUAUGGGUGCACCCAAUCAGGGUCCAUGGAUAUGUGUGGGUCAGGACUGUCAGGUUGCUGACAACAGAUCUGUUCCUCCACUUUGAUCAGCCCUUGUGCCAGUGCAAAGGGAGGAUGGCAUGGAUGGAGUAUUUUCUCUCUCAUGGGGAGCUAUGGGCACGGGGGCUCUCUCUGCAGAGGACUGUGCAUCAGACAGCAGCUCUUUGUAGGAAGAUGCCUUAGGUACUCAAGUCUUUCAGUGCAAGUCCCUUGUUUUCUUAUUGAGCACACUGAAAACCUGUUGGUUUAUUCCACAAGAAGAUGAGCAAACACAUGCCACUUCAAGGUAUCUCUUGAACUGCUUAGUAGACAUCUGUGCUGUCAACUUCUGCCUUGUUAUUAAGAACACUCUUCCUUCUUGUUCUUUUUUCCUUCACCCUGGAAUUCUAAAUGGGACUUUUAGCUAUUUUUGUGUGUUUUCAAGAAUAAAAAUUAUGAUCAUCUUGCUUUUUUUCGCUUU
This 2117-nucleotide long non-coding RNA is filed under the name Coturnix japonica (Japanese quail). RNAcentral describes it as "lncRNA (ENSCJPG00005011863.1)". The record is from RNAcentral. Lineage: Eukaryota; Metazoa; Chordata; Aves; Galliformes; Phasianidae.